CCACAUGCCCCACGGCUCUGCAGUGACCUUUGUCAAGGUCAGGUUUGUGUUGCUAAAUCUGAUGGGCACUUUUCUUUUUCAUCUUUAUGUCUCAGCUGCAUUUCACACCCUGGACAUUGGACUUCCUUGAAGCAGUUUUUUUUUUUUUUUUUUUUUAAUCAUCUGUAUCUACCUUGGGUUGUGUUCUUCCAGAAGCAGACCCUGAGGAAAGAUUUGGCAGAGAGAAGAAGGAGCUGUACCAUUCAACAUCAAGGAAGAAUUGUUAAUUACAGAUCCCAACAGAAGACUCUUCAACAGGAAAGAAUGAUAAAUUAUAGGCCCCAGCAGAGAAAGAUGUGUACUGCAUCACCUACAAGAAAUUGAUCACCCCUGCAAUUCAGCCAAUGAGAAAUGGUCAUCAUCCUGAACUCUUGCUUCUCUCCAGUGGACUUUUGUUCAAAAUAACCCCUCCCAGCUUCUUCUUUCUUUUCUAUAAAAUAAAAUUCCUCUCCUUUGUUUGUUGGACUUGCCUGUGGUUUUGCCAUAGCUUCUAUAUAUCAAACUGCAAUUCUCUGCUAUUGUUGAAUAAACCUAUUUUUGCUAAUAA
This is a long non-coding RNA of Lynx canadensis (Canada lynx), 586 nucleotides long. RefSeq lists it as uncharacterized. The record is from RefSeq and is a predicted model, not a curated record. The transcript has 2 exons. NCBI's taxonomy places the organism in Eukaryota, Metazoa, Chordata, Mammalia, Carnivora, Felidae.